Molecule: ribosomal RNA, 301 nt
Filed under: uncultured bacterium
Lineage: Bacteria
Description: partial 16S ribosomal RNA
Rfam family: Bacterial small subunit ribosomal RNA
Source: RNAcentral
CAGUCGCCGCGGUAAUACGGAGGGUGCAAGCGUUAAUCGGAAUUACUGGGCGUAAAGCGCACGCAGGCGGUCUGACAAGUCAGAUGUGAAAUCCCCGGGCUUAACCUGGGAACUGCAUUUGAAACUGUCAGGCUGGAGUCUUGUAGAGGGGGGUAGAAUUCCAGGUGUAGCGGUGAAAUGCGUAGAGAUCUGGAGGAAUACCGGUGGCGAAGGCGGCCCCCUGGACAAAGACUGACGCUCAGGUGCGAAAGCGUGGGGAGCAAACAGGAUUAGAGACCCCUGUAGUCCCUGUCUCUUAUAC